ACCAGCACCAGAGUGACAUCUCUAUUAGCCACGUCGCCUACUGAUCCAAAGUCCUCUAAUCAAAUCAGAUCCGAUCUGAGAACUUCGUAUCUCUUUUUAAAUUUAAGUGACCUCCAUAUGCAGCUAGCCAUGAAGCAGAUAAGGCAGUCAUAACUACUAUAUUCCAAGAAUUCUGACUCCAAAUUUUGCCACGUCGCAUCCGAACCAG
Molecule: long non-coding RNA, 208 nt
Filed under: Elaeis guineensis (African oil palm)
Lineage: Eukaryota; Viridiplantae; Streptophyta; Magnoliopsida; Arecales; Arecaceae
Description: long non-coding RNA (EGUI_LNC048189)
Source: RNAcentral